Molecule: non-coding RNA, 263 nt
Organism: Roseburia sp. CAG:182
Lineage: Bacteria; Bacillati; Bacillota; Clostridia; Lachnospirales; Lachnospiraceae
Rfam family: Bacterial large signal recognition particle RNA
About the family: The signal recognition particle (SRP) is a universally conserved ribonucleoprotein involved in the co-translational targeting of proteins to membranes.
Source: Rfam
UCGGGCAGCCGGGGGAGUAGCGGUACCCUGUACCAGCAAUCCGCUAGAGCUGGGGUGAUAUCCCGCCGCGGGUUUUUGGGCUGUAAAGCUGCCCUUCGCAAGUGGCGUUGAAGUCUGGGUCUUACGCAAUAGGAACUUACGAACCGUGUCAGGUUGGGAACAAAGCAGCACUAAGUAAGAGCUCUUAUGUGCCGUGAGGUCGCCUGGACCGAGCUAACUACGGAGGUAACGUUUGUGGUCCGGAUUCAAAGCGGGAUGCCCGA